Long non-coding RNA from Marmota monax (woodchuck), 1614 nucleotides. RefSeq lists it as uncharacterized. The transcript is spliced from 3 exons. NCBI's taxonomy places the organism in Eukaryota, Metazoa, Chordata, Mammalia, Rodentia, Sciuridae. The record is from RefSeq and is a predicted model, not a curated record.
AGGCUGUGGAUCUCAACAAAACAGGAAGCAUAAUUUCAUUAAAUGAAGGUCAGGUUUGAAAUUCAGCUUAAAAGAUCAUUGCAAUUUGUUGAUGGAACCAUUAAAUGUAAAUGAAAAUUUUUUAUUGCACCAAAACAAAUGCAAAAAAAAGUGGUUGAUAUUAUUUCAGAAAUUUGAAGUGUGAAUGGUGAAUAUUUCUCCUCAAAUAAUGUGCAGCUAGCAAUAAGAAACCUCCAUGAAGCUAUAGAUAAGUUGUGCCAAGGAUUAGGUAUCAGAACAAAGGAGAGAGGCUUGGAAGUGAUUUGGACACUGCAAGUUCAUGGAGUAGAGAUCCUGUUGGUGAGCUAUACUCACAACUCAGUGAAGUGCAAGCAAAUCUCACUCCAUUCAAGAACUAGCCUCACCUGAGCUUCAACAACACUUUAACACAUAGAAUUUGGGAGAGAAAAUCCUAACUCAAUGAUCAAGUUGCACUCUUGAACAUCUACUCAAGGGAUCCAAACAGAGAAAAGUACCAAGAUAACUGCACACUGAAGGACACACACAUAUACAAGAGGAAGAGGAAUCCAUUUCAACAGAUGGACAAGUCCAAGACUUCGGAAAACAUGAGAAAACUGAUAAACAAAUCUCCCCUCAAAAUUUAUAAUUCCCUGACAAAGGAAGCUGCAGAUCUGAAAAUGAAUAAAAUUCCAGAGGACUACUAUAAAACUGAUUAUUAAAAUGUUUAAUGAAAUAAAAGAUGAUCGAAGGAAUGAAUUAAGAGAGCAAAUACAGGAGGUGGAACACCAUUUCAACAUAGAAAUGGAGAUACUAAAAAGGAAUCAAUCAGAACUCCUAGAAAUGAAAGACACAGUGAAUCAAAUAAAAAAUUCACUAGAAAGUAUCAUCAACUAAUUAGAUUACAUAGAAAACUGAACUUUAGGCCUUGAAAACAGAGUAUAUGAAUCUGAACACUCAGUAUAAAAUAAAGGGGAAAAAAGAUCAUCAUUAGAAUGUGCAAAAAUCCUGGGAACACCUGAAGAGAUCAAAUUUGAGAGUUUGAGAGUCAUUGAGGGGAAGAUAAUCUGGAGAUUCAAUAAGCAUUAAGAUUUUUUCAGUAAAAUAAUAGCAGGAAAAUUUUCUAAGCUUAGAAAUGGAUGAACAACCACAUACAGAAUGCAUAUAGAACCCCAAAUAGACAAGACCAAAAAAGAACCUCCCCAAGAUACAUCAUAAUGGAAGUACCUAAUGUAGUAAAUGAGCAAAAAACAUUAAAAGCUGCAAGAGAAAAACAUCAGGUUAUAUUUAGAAAUAGAGCAAUAAGACUCACUUCUGACUUAUCCACUCAAACCUUAAAAUCAAAGAGGGCCUGAAAUGAGAUAUUCCAUAUUCUGAAAGAAAGCAAUUUCCAUACAAAAUUGCUAUAUCCAGCAAAGAUCUCUUUCAAAAUCAAAGGGUAAAUAAAAACUUUCAUUAAUUAAAAAGUCAGCACUAUAAAAAGAGUUAAACAUAUAUCACACACAGAAGAAAUCAGAAACAUACCCUAAAGCUACCAAAUGGAUGAUGCUGCCUGAAAGAGCAAUUGAUUAUAUGAAAAUUAAGAUAGAAUUGAGUAUAUCAAAUCAAAAUAGAAGG